AACGAACGCUGGCGGCAGGCUUCAUACAUGCAAGUCGAACGGUAGCACAGAGGAGCUUGCUCCUUGGGUGACGAGUGGCGGACGGGUGAGUAAUGUCUGGGAAACUGCCCGAUGGAGGGGGAUAACUACUGGAAACGGUAGCUAAUACCGCAUAACGUCUUCGGACCAAAGUGGGGGACCUUCGGGCCCCACACCAUCGGAUGUGCCCAGAUGGGAUUAGCUAGUAGGUGGGGUAAUGGCUAACCUAGGCGACGAUCCCUAGCUGGUCUGAGAGGAUGACCAGCCACACUGGAACUGAGACACGGUCCAGACUCCUACGGGAGGCAGCAGUGGGGAAUAUUGCACAAUGGGCGCAAGCCUGAUGCAGCCAUGCCGCGUGUAUGAAGAAGGCCUUCGGGUUGUAAAGUACCUUCAGCGGGGAGGAAGGCGUUAAGGUUAAUAACCUUGGCGAUUGACGUUACCCGCAGAAGAAGCACCGGCUAACUCCGUGCCAGCCGCCGCCGUAA
Molecule: ribosomal RNA, 506 nt
Filed under: uncultured bacterium
Lineage: Bacteria
Description: partial 16S ribosomal RNA
Rfam family: Bacterial small subunit ribosomal RNA
Source: RNAcentral